This is a long non-coding RNA of Alligator sinensis (Chinese alligator), 2346 nucleotides long. RefSeq lists it as uncharacterized. NCBI's taxonomy places the organism in Eukaryota, Metazoa, Chordata, Crocodylia, Alligatoridae. The transcript is spliced from 3 exons. The record is from RefSeq and is a predicted model, not a curated record.
CCUGACAUGGUGGCAGCCAUCUCGUGACCUAAAGGGGCCUAGCUAAUGCAACUCAAGAUAAUACACCUUGGGGGUGUAUUAUCUUGUGCAGCAUUUAAGUCAACUCUGCUCUGCAUGGGUAUGUAGUAGAGACAAUUAAGUCGAUUUUAAAAAGUUAAGUCAGCUUAAUGGUCAGAAAGUUAGCAAGUGUGUAUGCACCCCUAUUGAGGAAAUAAAUUAAUUGGAAGAGCUUUGGGACUACCUGCCAGCCAGACCUACCCACCUGGAAAUGGAGACAAAGGGGCUCAGGAAGGUAGGUGGGAAUAUGAGGGCGGGGAGGAACUGGUCAUGCUUAGAGAAUUGGAUCUGUGGGUUGUCUACCUGUUUAUUGUCAGCCAGGCUGAUCCCUUUAAAUCGGGAGGGUUAUUAUACAUCGAAUACAUAGAUAUCCCCACAAUCAAUAAAUGAAUGUCACUAUGGUAUUUGUUGCACUUGGAUCAUCUUUGUGCUUGUUUCAAACAAAUUCUGGAUGUUGCAAUAAAAAAGAUUGUGAGAAGCUUGGUCAACACCUGGCAGGAACAGAACGUCCAUCUUUUAGAAAAAUGUAUUUAAUCCCUUGAGUAGCCCAGGCAAGAUCUAUGCUGCUGUUAUAUGUCAGAAAAUGGCAUACAGUGCAAAUACAGAGAUAUAAACUCUAUAAUUAUUCAAUGUUGUGUCAAGGUGUCCGAUCUCUUUUCCCUGUCAAAUGGAAAGAGUACUUAGUCUUGUUAUCAGGGGCCUGUUACCUUAACAGGGUGUGUCUACAUGUGCAAUUAAUGUGACUGAAUAUACUCUGGCUUAAUUUGAACCUGAGUAAACUAAUCCCAAUGUCACCAUCUACACGUGUUGAAGCACAGUAAUUUACUGUGCAUAGGCUAGUACUGUGGCAUAGGCUAGUACAUGUGUCUGAUGGGACUAUCAUACAAUGGAAUAAAUUAAUCUACUGUAUGCUAAUGGUGGUACAUGUGUAGACCAUGAUGUUUACUGUGUAUUAAAUUAGUGUGAUGCCUAGUAAAGCUCAUGCAUAGACACACCCACAGAAAGUUACUGAUAAAUACACUGAAAACGCACUGAAAUAGCUUUUCCAAGAGCCUAGGUGCUGCUCUGGAGUUUUGUGUGUGGAGUCUAGUAUUAAAUAACCACACAGGGCCCAAAUUAUGUAUUUCUUUCCUUUUAUCGUUGUUUUCUCCUUUGAUUUUAUCCCCAAAUUGAAAGGCUAUGGAAUGUGUGUGUAUAUAUUUAUUUAUAGAUAUCUAUCUAUAAAGUACCAGUGAUGAUAAUUUCCUGUUUCUGUUUUUCAUGAUGAGUGAGCACAAAGCAUGUGAUUUCAUGUUUCACUUCUCUUUGGAGGACUUUUACAUUUUUUACAGGAAAAAAUAUGCCGCUAACUCUGAAUCCUGUUUUCAUCCAGACAGUGACAGGAAACUUCAACUACAUGGUAGUCUGCAGCUGUGAGCCACGGUUGACAUUUAACAGCAAGUUCUUAAACUUUCUAAAGCUAAAAGCCUACUACUGGAUUAUCAAAAGAGAGAAGGAAGGGCGAUCUCCAAGUGCAAGAAGAGAUGUGGUAAAAGGAAGCAAAAAAGAGUGCAAGGAAAGAACGUUAAGGAAGAAGGACUGAGAACAGAAAUAAGUGAUGCUAUUGACCAUAAUGGACAACUUUGAUUUGCAUGUAUUGUGUGCACUGUAUAAAAUGAAGUCAAGGGCUCAGUAGUUAUAACAUGUUUAUCAUUUGUGGCAUUAUGACCCUUCAAAUAUUUUCAAACUAUUUGGCAAAAAAGGACAUAUAAGCAAUUACACAUUUUUGUGUAAUUCUACAAUACACAAUUGUGCAUUUCUACAAACAUUUUCUUCGUUCUGCAACAGUUGUCUGCAACAAGAUCUGCUGUGUUCUGGGGUCAAGAUCAGUCUCUCUAAAUGCCUUUCUUCAGAAUCUUUGUUUAGAUAGGUACAUGUUGUUAAGCCUACACACAAGAGUAGUAUUGUGAAGUUUCAUUAAGGAAAAAUGCUGAAUCCAUGAAUGAAAGAUGUUAUGACUUGUAAACUGAUACUGGAAUUAGUUGUCAACUUGGUUGUAUAUUACCGCCAAUUCUGAACCUGACAAAGGCAUUUAAUUAUGCAUGUAUAUCCUGUACAUUUCUAAUAGUAAAGUUAGUUCAACUCAAUUUCACAAAGGAAUUCAGGAAAAUUAGGGGGACCAUAAAUACAAAACUGGGGGCCUUCACAAAAUUGGAAAAAAAAACAGAUGAUACAAAACUGCUAAUAUUUCAACAAGAAGUAACUUGCUAGUGCCCAAGUUUAUCAAUAAAUGCAGACCCUUUUAUUUAA